UGGGGAAUCUUGGACAAUGGGGGCAACCCUGAUCCAGCCAUGCCGCGUGAGUGAUGAAGGCCUUAGGGUCGUAAAGCUCUUUCGCCUGUGAAGAUAAUGACGGUAGCAGGUAAAGAAACCCCGGCUAACUCCGUGCCAGCAGCCGCGGUAAUACGGAGGGGGUUAGCGUUGUUCGGAAUUACUGGGCGUAAAGCGCACGUAGGCGGACCAGAAAGUUGGGGGUGAAAUCCCGGGGGCUCAACCCCGGAACUGCCUCCAAAACUAUUGGUCUAGAGUUCGAGAGAGGUGAGUGGAAUUCCAAGUGUAGAGGUGAAAUUCGUAGAUAUUUGGAGGAACACCAGUGGCGAAGGCGGCUCACUGGCUCGAUACUGACGCUGAGGUGCGAAAGUGUGGGGAGCAAACAGGAUUAGAUACCCUGGUAGUCCACGCCGUAAAACGAUGAAUGUUAGCCGUCGGGCAGUAUACUGUUCGGUGGCGCAGCUAACGCAUUAAACAUUCCGCCU
RNAcentral lists this ribosomal RNA (503 nucleotides) under uncultured bacterium. RNAcentral's name for it is "bacterial SSU rRNA". It matches the Rfam family "Bacterial small subunit ribosomal RNA", at positions 355 to 874 of the family's 1533-position model. The record is from RNAcentral.